Molecule: ribosomal RNA, 849 nt
Filed under: uncultured Bacteroidota bacterium
Lineage: Bacteria; Pseudomonadati; Bacteroidota
Description: bacterial SSU rRNA
Rfam family: Bacterial small subunit ribosomal RNA
Source: RNAcentral
AACGCUAGCGACAGGCCUAACACAUGCAAGUCGAGGGGCAGCGGGGGAGCGUGCUUGCACGCUCCUGCCGGCGACCGGCGCACGGGUGAGUAACGCGUAUGCAACCUGCCCGUUCCAGCGGGAUAACCCGGGGAAAUCCGGACUAAUACCGCAUGCGACCUUCAGGAGGCAUCUCCUUUAGGUCAAAGGGGCGACCCGGGAACGGAUGGGCAUGCGUGACAUUAGCUAGUUGGCGGGGUAACGGCCCACCAAGGCGACGAUGUCUAGGGGUUCUGAGAGGAAGGUCCCCCACACUGGUACUGAGACACGGACCAGACUCCUACGGGAGGCAGCAGUGAGGAAUAUUGGUCAAUGGGCGAGUGCCUGAACCAGCCAAGUCGCGUGAGGGAUGACGGCCCUACGGGUUGUAAACCUCCUUUGCCGGGGAGCAAUGCUCCGCACGAGUGCGGAGCGGGAGAGUACCCGGAGAAAAAGCAUCGGCUAACUCCGUGCCAGCAGCCGCGGUAAUACGGAGGAUGCGAGCGUUAUCCGGAUUUAUUGGGUUUAAAGGGUGCGUAGGCGGAACGCCAAGUCAGCGGUAAAAAUUCGGGGCUCAACCCCGUCGUGCCGUUGAAACUGGUGUCCUUGAGUGGGCGAGAAGUAUGCGGAAUGCGUGGUGUAGCGGUGAAAUGCAUAGAUAUCACGCAGAACUCCGAUUGCGAAGGCAGCAUACCGGCGCCCAACUGACGCUGAAGCACGAAAGCGUGGGUAUCGAACAGGAUUAGAUACCCUGGUAGUCCACGCAGUAAACGAUGAAAUGCUAAUUGUCCGGAGGGAUUGACCUCUGGGUGAUACAGCGAAAGCGUUAAG